This 497-nucleotide ribosomal RNA is filed under the name uncultured bacterium. Its description in RNAcentral is "partial 16S ribosomal RNA". It matches the Rfam family "Bacterial small subunit ribosomal RNA", at positions 28 to 507 of the family's 1533-position model. The record is from RNAcentral.
GAUGAACGCUGGCGGCGUGCCUAAUACAUGCCAGUCGAGCGAACGGACGAGAAGCUUGCUUCUCUGAUGUUAGCGGCGGACGGGUGAGUAACACGUGGAUAACCUACCUAUAAGACUGGGAUAACUUUGGGAAACCGUAGCUAAUACCGGAUAAUAUUUUGAACCGCAUGGUUCAAAAGUGAAAGACGGUCUUGCUGUCACUUAUAGAUGGAUCCGCGCUGCAUUAGCUAGUUGGUAAGGUAACGGCUUACCAAGGCAACGAUGCAUAGCCGACCUGAGAGGGUGAUCGGCCACACUGGAACUGAGACACGGUCCAGACUCCUACGGGAGGCAGCAGUAGGGAAUCUUCCGCAAUGGGCGAAAGCCUGACGGAGCAACGCCGCGUGAGUGAUGAAGGUCUUCGGAUCGUAAAACUCUGUUAUUAGGGAAGAACAUAUGUGUAAGUAACUGUGCACAUCUUGACGGUACCUAAUCAGAAAGCCACGGCUAACUACGUG